ACUCAGCAUCAAGCAAUGGUUUAGAUCUGUUACGGUGGUGAUUGGGGUUUAGAGACAGAGACGGGUUAAAUAUGCAACGACGACGAUGAACGAUCUGGUUCUUCACUCUCCGAUGACAGGAAACCUGUAAUGCCCACGAUUCUUGGGGAUGGCGCUGGAUGGCGGUGAAGCGGUGCGGAGGCAGUAGUUGUAAGGCUGUGGUGGCAGUGGU
RNAcentral lists this long non-coding RNA (211 nucleotides) under Helianthus annuus (common sunflower). RNAcentral describes it as "sRNA HanXRQr2_Chr15g0687901". Lineage: Eukaryota; Viridiplantae; Streptophyta; Magnoliopsida; Asterales; Asteraceae. The record is from RNAcentral.